GCAAUGCCGCGUGAGUGAAGAAGGCCUUCGGGUUGUAAAGCUCUUUUGUCAGGGAAGAAACGGUGAGAGCUAAUAUCUUUUGCUAAUGACGGUACCUGAAGAAUAAGCACCGGCUAACUACGUGCCAGCAGCCGCGGUAAUACGUAGGGUGCAAGCGUUAAUCGGAAUUACUGGGCGUAAAGCGUGCGCAGGCGGUUUUGUAAGUCUGAUGUGAAAUCCCCGGGCUCAACCUGGGAAUUGCAUUGGAGACUGCAAGGCUAGAAUCUGGCAGAGGGGGGUAGAAUUCCACGUGUAGCAGUGAAAUGCGUAGAUAUGUGGAGGAACACCGAUGGCGAAGGCAGCCCCCUGGGUCAAGAUUGACGCUCAUGCACGAAAGCGUGGGGAGCAAACAGGAUUAGAUACCCUGGUAGUCCACGCCCUAAACGAUGUCUACUAGUUGUCGGGUCUUAAUUGACUUGGUAACGCAGCUAA
Molecule: ribosomal RNA, 471 nt
Filed under: Janthinobacterium sp.
Lineage: Bacteria; Pseudomonadati; Pseudomonadota; Betaproteobacteria; Burkholderiales; Oxalobacteraceae
Description: bacterial SSU rRNA
Rfam family: Bacterial small subunit ribosomal RNA
Source: RNAcentral